AGGGUUUGAUUAUGGCUCAGGAUGAACGCUAGCUACAGGCUUAACACAUGCAAGUCGAGGGGAAACGACAUCGAAAGCUUGCUUUUGAUGGGCGUCGACCGGCGCACGGGUGAGUAACGCGUAUCCAACCUGCCCACCACUUGGGGAUAACCUUGCGAAAGUAAGACUAAUACCCAAUGAUAUCUCUAGAAGACAUCUGAAAGAGAUUAAAGAUUUAUCGGUGAUGGAUGGGGAUGCGUCUGAUUAGCUUGUUGGCGGGGUAACGGCCCACCAAGGCAACGAUCAGUAGGGGUUCUGAGAGGAAGGUCCCCCACAUUGGAACUGAGACACGGUCCAA
This 337-nucleotide ribosomal RNA is filed under the name uncultured bacterium. Its description in RNAcentral is "bacterial SSU rRNA". It matches the Rfam family "Bacterial small subunit ribosomal RNA", at positions 8 to 334 of the family's 1533-position model. The record is from RNAcentral.